GACGAACGCUGGCGGCGUGCUUAACACAUGCAAGUCGAGCGGUAAGGCCCUUUCGGGGGUACACGAGCGGCGAACGGGUGAGUAACACGUGGGCGACCUACCCUCAGCUUCGGGAUAAGCCUGGGAAACUGGGUCUAAUACCGGAUAUGACCUUCCCUCGCAUGGGGGUUGGUGGAAAGUUUUUCGGCUGGGGAUGGGCCCGCGGCCUAUCAGCUUGUUGGUGGGGUGAUGGCCUACCAAGGCGACGACGGGAGCCGGCCUGAGAGGGCGACCGGCCACACUGGGACUGAGAUACGGCCCAGACUCCUACGGGAGGCAGCAGUGGGGAAUAUUGCGCAAUGGGCGGAAGCCUGACGCAGCGACGCCGCGU
Molecule: ribosomal RNA, 370 nt
Filed under: uncultured bacterium
Lineage: Bacteria
Description: bacterial SSU rRNA
Rfam family: Bacterial small subunit ribosomal RNA
Source: RNAcentral